RNAcentral lists this transfer RNA (74 nucleotides) under Enterococcus faecalis. RNAcentral describes it as "tRNA-Met". Lineage: Bacteria; Bacillati; Bacillota; Bacilli; Lactobacillales; Enterococcaceae. The record is from RNAcentral.
GGACCAUUAGCUCAGCUGGUUAGAGCAAAUGGCUCAUGACUAUUCGGUCGAUGGUUUGAAUUCAUCAUGGUCGA